UUUAUGAAAAUGCCAAAAGUUUUUUUAUUCAAAACAAAAACCCAUACUUAUAGUGUAGCUAAACAAAAAGAUAAAAAUAGACAUGGGCCUUUUAAACAGUUUGGGCCAAAAUUACAAUAAAAAUAAAUUAUAACUAAAAACUUAUUUAACUUGGGCCUUCAAAUUAGUUUGGGCCUUCAGCAACAAUUAAUAGUCUUGAUAGUGUCUCUGCCUCUGGGCCUUCAUCCUUCUCCACUUGGGCCUUCAUCCUUCUCCACUUGGGGGCUUUGUCCUUCUCCACUUGGGCCUUCGUCCUUCUCCACUUGGGCCUUUAGCCUGUAUUUGGCCAGUUUCAUGAUUCUCAUCAAAUUAUAAAAUACAAUACUGGGUACAGAAAUCAUGCAUAAUACAGCUAUAUACUUGCUGUCAGAGAUAAAAGUCUCUUACAGAGAUUACUCUCUUCCCUGAAACGGAAAAUGACAACACACUUUCCUAAUUACACAACCUACAAUCAGAUAUAAUCCUAAUAGGUAACUGCCAAAUGUUAUUUUCCAUGAAUAACUGCCAUCGUGCACUUUCAAAUACAGAACUAAUGCUUAAUUACUAAUACGAGUAAGUUAUUUCAUAUCACAUAUACUCCUAAUAAUAAUUGCCUCCAAUCCAUCAAUAGAUCCUUCCUAACCCACUUGAAUUUUGGCUCCCAUCAUAUCACCAACUUACCUUUUAUUGAUAGUACAAGUUUAUAUGAUAUUUCCAGAUUCAAGGAAAACUGUACCUUAGAAUUGACCAUAAAGGUGAAGGUGCUAAUUGGUGUCGCACAGUUGGGCAGGAAUUAUAUUCACCAUUGCUGUUGGCCUUCACAGAACAGGUAAAAUGAAGGGAGAUCCCCCCCUCCCCCAAAAAUAAAAUAAAAUGAUAGUUAAAUCAUUUGUCAUAACUGGUUUCCACUUGUGAUGCAGGAAGGAGACAAUUGGUUGCAUUUCAUUCCAUCAACAUUUUCUGGCAUAGAUUCUUCCUACAGUUUACCUGACAACACUGCUCUUUUAACCCUCCAGGUAUGAGAGGGAGAACGAUAGGGACAUUUAGAGAGAAAAUAGAAGAUGAAGUUUAAGAUGCCUUCUAACAUUUUUACCUCAUCUUUAUUUCUGAUGUGUAUCUAUUGUUUUUAUGAACUUCUGCAGGAAUUUAAAAAUGGAAAAGUACUCCUAAGAUUGGCUCACCUUUAUGAGGUUGUAUUUUUUUUUACUGAUGUAUUGAUAACUUUGGUUCUCUCUUAAAGAUUUAAUCUACCCUUUCAGAAUGAUCUUCUAAGGAUUGCUUGACUGCAAUUUUAUAUUCUUAACCAUGAUUGGAAUGAUUUUUUCAGUGACCUGUGUUUUACUUGCAUUUAACCUAUGCUAUAAAAUGCAAACAUGCAUGCAUUUCUAUCAAAGUAUGGAAAUAAUAUUUGUAUAUGUAACUGUUAGAGAUCAAUAACAGUUUGUCCAUGCAACUAUACAGGUAAGUUUACCCUUGCAAAGAACUUUAUAACCUAGCUAUGAAUGAUUUAUGAUAUUUGUCAUGCAUCAAGAGUCAGUACAAUGUACAACAACUUUUUCCUCUAUCUUAAUCGUCUAUCAAAUAUUGUGCUUUACAUUCAGAAAUCAAAUAUCCUUUAUUCUUGCAUUGAUGUUUGGUGCCUAUUUACAUACAAAGAUUGGAGAGGACAAAAAUUACUCAGUAACGGCAAGUGUGGAAUUGAAAAAAUUGUUCCCUAACAAGAAGGUAAGAGUGAUAGCUAACCACUCCAAGUUAGUUUUUUUCACACAUGUACUCUUGUAUAGUUUCCUUUUUGACAACUCAACCUUUUCACAUAAAUAAAGCAACAGAGAUGAGUUUGUCUGCUAAUCAAGAAAGAGCUGUAAUGGAAAAGAGGAAGCUAGAUUGGAAGGUAGAAACCUGUUGAUCCUAUGAAGUUGGUGGUCGAACUUGCUCCAAUGGAGAUUCGAACAUUCUUUAUUGAAUUUGAUCCCCUCCAAACAGUUCCUGAAGCUGAAAAUCAUGUGGCAAUGUAGCAAAGCAUCCAACACAGUAGCAUCUAUGCAUUGUCCGGCUGUAAUAUGAUAUUCCCAUGGAAUAUAUGUUUUAUUGUUGUAGUGCCCUCAACAUGUUGCUGGAAAAUGUGUAUUUCUGUAUAAGCUUUUGUAAACAAAUAAAAAGUUCUGUAACUUGAGUCUCGGUGACUAUUAAUAUAAGAGUUGCACACACUAAAACUUCCUAGAAGUUUUUUGUUUUGUAAAUAGUGAAAUAUGAGGUGCUCAUACAUGUUGGUCUUUUCUCCUUCUGUUAGCAUUAAGCUCUAAUGAAUCAGUGACUUGUCACCAUUUCAAAAUAUUUGUGCGAUUCAAAGGUUUACAUAACCAUUUUAUAUUUUUCGCAAAUAUCAAGUUAAUUAUGAGUUGAUACAUUUUUGCAUUAGUAUAGUGAGGAUAUGGCUUAAUUCACAUGACUUGUGCAGAGUAAGACUGUAUUAAGUGACUCUUUGCAAUGCUAGAAUUUUUUGCAGACCUUUUAUCGAGCUAUGCACUAAAAGCAAUUCGUGGUGGACGACACGGUAAUCGAAUAUUCGAG
RNAcentral lists this long non-coding RNA (2589 nucleotides) under Glycine max (soybean). RNAcentral describes it as "long non-coding RNA (GMAX_LNC003626)". The record is from RNAcentral. Lineage: Eukaryota; Viridiplantae; Streptophyta; Magnoliopsida; Fabales; Fabaceae.